This 217-nucleotide unclassified non-coding RNA is filed under the name uncultured Actinomycetes bacterium. Its description in RNAcentral is "uncultured actinobacterium contains 16S-23S intergenic spacer region". Lineage: Bacteria; Bacillati; Actinomycetota; Actinomycetes. The record is from RNAcentral.
UCCGAGUUGUCCCCGGCAGUCCCUUUAGAGUCCCCGGCAUUACCCGCUGGCAACUAAAGGCAGGGGUUGCGCUCGUUGCGGCACUUAAGCCAACACCUCACGGCACGAGCUGACGACAGCCAUGCAGCACCUGUGCUGGGCCCUUACGGACACGGGCUUUCACCCGCUUUACCCAGCAUGUCAAGCCUAGGUAAGGUGGGGAUGACGUUCGUCUGAC